Long non-coding RNA from Symphalangus syndactylus (siamang), 409 nucleotides. RefSeq lists it as uncharacterized. The record is from RefSeq and is a predicted model, not a curated record. Lineage: Eukaryota; Metazoa; Chordata; Mammalia; Primates; Hylobatidae.
ACAGUUUUUGCUCUCAAAAGUAACAGCAAAAAUCACAAUUAUUUUCAUUACUUUUACACCAACUUAAUAUAAGCUAAGGAAUGCAAAAGAUUGCCAGCAAAUGACCAGAAGCUAGAGGGGAGGCAUGGAACAGAUCUUCUCUCACAGCCUCAGAAGGAACCAGCCCUACUGACACCUCCAUCUUACUUCUAGACUCCAGACUGAUGACUCAUUCUUGGAGCCCAGUUGCCAUACUGUGAGGAAGCCCAACAGGCACAAACUAACAGAACACGUGAAAAAGCUUCAGCCUCAUGUAGAUGUUCUGGCCAACAUCCCAGUUGAUGUCACAGCCAACAGCCUGCAUCAAGUGCCUGACAUGUUCACGAGUGCCCUGAAUUCCAUCCACAGAGCUAUUGGAUGUUUGGAGCCC